This 497-nucleotide ribosomal RNA is filed under the name uncultured bacterium. RNAcentral's name for it is "partial 16S ribosomal RNA". It matches the Rfam family "Bacterial small subunit ribosomal RNA", at positions 28 to 507 of the family's 1533-position model. The record is from RNAcentral.
GAUGAACGCUGGCGGCGUGCCUAAUACAUGCCAGUCGAGCGAACAGACGAGGAGCUUGCUCCUCUGACGUUAGCGGCGGACGGGUGAGUAACACGUGGAUAACCUACCUAUAAGACUGGGAUAACUUCGGGAAACCGGAGCUAAUACCGGAUAAUAUAUUGAACCGCAUGGUUCAAUAGUGAAAGACGGUUUUGCUGUCACUUAUAGAUGGAUCCGCGCCGCAUUAGCUAGUUGGUAAGGUAACGGCUUACCAAGGCAACGAUGCGUAGCCGACCUGAGAGGGUGAUCGGCCACACUGGAACUGAGACACGGUCCAGACUCCUACGGGAGGCAGCAGUAGGGAAUCUUCCGCAAUGGGCGAAAGCCUGACGGAGCAACGCCGCGUGAGUGAUGAAGGUCUUCGGAUCGUAAACCUCUGUUAUUAGGGAAGAACAAAUGUGUAAGUAACUAUGCACGUCUUGACGGUACCUAAUCAGAAAGCCACGGCUAACUACGUG